AGUGAACGCUGGCGGUAGGCCUAACACAUGCAAGUCGAACGGCAGCACAGUAAGAGCUUGCUCUUACGGGUGGCGAGUGGCGGACGGGUGAGGAAUACAUCGGAAUCUACUUUUUCGUGGGGGAUAACGUAGGGAAACUUACGCUAAUACCGCAUACGACCUACGGGUGAAAGCAGGGGAUCUUCGGACCUUGCGCGAUUGAAUGAGCCGAUGUCGGAUUAGCUAGUUGGCGGGGUAAAGGCCCACCAAGGCGACGAUCCGUAGCUGGUCUGAGAGGAUGAUCAGCAACAAUGGAACGGAGACACGGGCCAGACUCCUACGGGAGGCAGCAGUGGGGAAUAUUGGACAAUGGGCGCAAGCCUGAUCCAGCCAUACCGCGUGGGUGAAGAAGGCUUUCGGGUUGUAAAGCCUUUUUGUUGGGAAAGAAAAGCAGCAGGUUAAUACCCCGCUGUUCUGACGGUACCCAAAGAAUAAGCACCGGCUAACUUCGUG
Molecule: ribosomal RNA, 492 nt
Filed under: uncultured bacterium
Lineage: Bacteria
Description: partial 16S ribosomal RNA
Rfam family: Bacterial small subunit ribosomal RNA
Source: RNAcentral